UACGGAGGGUGCAAGCAUUGAUCGGAAUGACUGGGCGUAAAGGGCGCGUAGGCGGCUUUUUAAGUCAGAUGUGAAAUUCCGGGGCUCAACCCCGGAGCUGCAUUUGAAACUGAAGAGCUAGUGGCUAGUAAGGGAAAACAGAAUUCCACGUGUAGCGGUGAAAUGCGUAGAUAUGUGGAAGAAUACCGGUGGUGAAGACGGUUUUCUGUGCUAAGCCAGACGCUGAGGCGCGAAAGCUAGGGGAGCAAACAGG
This 253-nucleotide ribosomal RNA is filed under the name uncultured prokaryote. RNAcentral's name for it is "partial 16S ribosomal RNA". It matches the Rfam family "Bacterial small subunit ribosomal RNA", at positions 524 to 776 of the family's 1533-position model. The record is from RNAcentral.